Molecule: ribosomal RNA, 467 nt
Filed under: uncultured bacterium
Lineage: Bacteria
Description: partial 16S ribosomal RNA
Rfam family: Bacterial small subunit ribosomal RNA
Source: RNAcentral
GACGAACGCUGGCGGCGUGCUUAACACAUGCAAGUCGAACGGAAAGGCCUCUUUCGGGGGGUACUCGAGUGGCGAACGGGUGAGUAACACGUGAGUAACCUGCCCUUGACUUUGGGAUAACUUCAGGAAACUGGGGCUAAUAUCGGAUAGGAGCUCCUGCUGCAUGGUGGGGGUUGGAAAGUUUCGGCGGUUGGGUAUGGACUCGCGGCUUAUCAGCUUGUUGGUGGGGUAGUGGCUUACCAAGGCUUUGACGGGUAGCCGGCCUGAGAGGGUGACCGGCCACAUUGGGACUGAGAUACGGCCCAGACUCCUACGGGAGGCAGCAGUGGGGAAUAUUGCACAAUGGGUGGAAGCCUGAUGCAGCAACGCCGUGUGCGGGAUGACGGCCUUCGGGUUGUAAACCGCUUUCGCUCAUGACGAAGCUUUGUGUGACGGUAGUGGGUAAAGAAGCACCGGCUAACUACGUG